Long non-coding RNA from Peromyscus californicus insignis, 4083 nucleotides. RefSeq lists it as uncharacterized. Lineage: Eukaryota; Metazoa; Chordata; Mammalia; Rodentia; Cricetidae. The transcript is spliced from 3 exons. The record is from RefSeq and is a predicted model, not a curated record.
ACAGUGUGACCAUUGGCUCCAUGCUCCUACUUCAGUGACUUCUCGGUUGUGGUGGACUGUAUCCUGGAACUGCUUUGUCUUCGCCCUCCCUCUGCAUCCCCUCCCCUUUGUUCUUUUGGGGAUCGAAACAAGAGUCUCAUGAAGCCAGGUGGAUGGAAUUCCAUUGCAUACGUGUGCCAAUGUUCCAGUAUCAAGCCAUCAAUUGAAAGACAUAGAUCUCCUAACUUUUGUGACAAGAGCAUCACUGAACAUGGCUGAGCAAGUAUCUGUGGAUUAGGAUGUCAAGUCCUUAGGGUGUAUACCAAAGAGUGGUACAGCUGAGCCAUGUGGCAGAUCUGCUUUUAGCUUUUUGAGAAUUCUCCACAUGGAUUACCUUUUCUAUCUAAAGCCUUUGGUCCUUUCUUGAUUUAUAUCCCUUUCAUUUUUUUUUCUCUCCUCUUGGACCUUACUGUUUCCUGGAUAUUGGUCUUGCCCCUCUAUAUUUCUUAGUGAACUCUUUUCUGUUUUUAGACCUUUACCACUUUUUGUAGCUUCUGGGAAAGUUCUCAUUCCCCACUUUACUGUCUUGUUCUUCAGCACUCUUCCUCUGUGUCUAUCGAGUUCUCACAUCUUGAAAAUCCGUUUUCAUUCUGCGAGCAGGUAACUAACCUCAGCUCAUUUGUUACCUUUGUUUUACCAUUGAAGUUUUCAGCUGUUUGUUGUUUUGCCCUUUGCAUUCACGUGCUCUGGGAUUACCUGUUCAUAUGCUCAUGAACACCCAAAUCUGUCUUUCUGGCUGUGUUCAAAGACUGGAGAGAGGAUACUGGAUAGUCUGGGCACAUCUACUGGUCCCUUUCAGGCUUGGUUUCCCUUUGAGCAUAGGGUAGAGGAGUGUGGCAACAGAGAGACUUCCUUUGCCUUGACUUAAUUAUCUUUCUGUUGUGAUAAAACACCAUGACCAAGGCAACUUAAAAAAGAAAGCCUUUAAUUGGCAUAUGGUUUCAGAGGGCCAGAGUCCAUGCUCAUGAUGGCAGGGAACAUGUCAGCAUGCAGGGAGGCAUGGCACUGGAUCAGGAACUGAGAGUUUACAUCUUGAUCCACAAGCACAAGACAGCUAACUGGAAAUGGGGUGGGCUUUAGAAACCACAAAGCCUAACCCCCAGUGGCACACCUCCUCCAACAAAGCUACAUGGCCUAACCCUUCCCAAACAGUUCUACCAACUGGGGACAGAGCAUUCAAAUAUUUGAACUUGGGGGAGGGCAUUCUUAUUCAAGCCAGCACAAUCUCUCAGGGUUUGAAAGAGUAGUUUUGUGACACUGAUAAUGAACUCUUUUCAGGGAGAACUUUUCCCAGCAGGACUUCACUGUUGCCCUGAUUCUGUCCUUAGGGUACCAAGUCAAAGAUGAAAGGCAAAUGAUGAUUGUUCCAAGGCAACCUAAAAGAGGGGCAAGUCCAGAACUAAGGGAGCUUUCUCAGCUCCCUUCCUAUUCCCACGGUGGCAGCCUAAACCAUUGAACUCUAUGCAGUAGGACGGGAUGCAGGCAUCUCAGGGAUGUUUUUCACUAUGGUAAUGGUCAGAAUGAUUAAUAGGAUCCUUCUUUUCCUACAGUUGCUCCACAUUCACAUUUGGGGGUAGCAGUCUGCUAAGAGGCUAGUCUGUCAUCUUGGCCCCAAACAGCAGAUACCUUACUGUCCUGCACCUAUGCUAUGAUUGCAAGGUCAGUACAGAGCAGUAGUUUCUAUAAUCAUCAGCAAGUAAAACUGUGUCCAUUAUUUAGUGUGCUUAUCCACAAGGUGUAUAACUAUUAUACACAUUUCUAAUUUAAUAGAAAAAAGAGUGCAUCUCAUGGUUGAUUUGCGUACAUUUGUUCUCUAUUGAGAUUGAAGUGUUUUCUCGUGUUUAUUGAGUGAAUUGCUUCCCUUCUCAGGAGAAUUAUCUAUUUGUGGCACAUGCUCAUUAGCUAUUUUAGGAUUAGAGUUUUUUCCUCACUUAUUCAGUCUUGUGCAAUUUAUUUUGAUUUACAGUUUGUUCAUUUUGAUUGGCACUGAGCAUUUCUCAUAAAGCAUGCUGUAAAGGGUCUCUACUGCAAGAUGAUAUGGUGAAGCCUCAUGAGAGGUCUCCUCCAAAUCUCUGUAAGAAAAAAAAAUCAAGUUUUUGUUACUAUUUUUGUGCAUCUGAAUCUGUCAAUACACUAUUAUUUUGCCUAUUGUUUCUAAGCUUAUUAUUUUUAAAAGUAUUUUUUCACUGCCUUUGAGCUGUUAAAUUAUAUCUUAGGCUGAUGUUUAGGCUUUGGUAUUUUGUUAGUCAAUCUUUUAAUCCAUCUGAGAUGGAUUUCGGAGGGAUGAGGGAGAAAGUUUAAAAAUGCAAAAAUCACAAAUUGACUUUCAAAACAGACUCUUUAUACCUUUUAUCCAACAAAAUUAUUACUAGAGUGGAUGACAGAAGACCAUGAAUCCGGGCAUUGCAAGGAAGAUAAAUACUCUGUUGUCAAGAACGGAUUGCUCAAACGAGAAUAAUGGCAAAAAGGAAGCUCAUAAAAUGUCCCUAUCUUGAAGCUGUUUGGGUUUUAUCUUGCUUGUCUGAAAGCUUGAUUGUUGGGGAAAGAGAAGCAAACGGAAAUGGAAAAGGGUACUUUAUUCUUUAACUCUAUAUCUUAUUGCAAAAUUGCCUCUGAAUACAAGAGAUGUCUUGAAUUGCCACAGCUGAGGCAGCCUCGAAUGGACCACAAAGAGUUUUGAGGUGAACUGAACCACGACUGUGAGUCUUUGCUGAGCUGAUAAUUCUUUCAUUUCCCGAAUAAAGUCAGUAUCUGUGAUUCGCUUCACCCUUUUUUGGCAGUUUUCCUUUGAGUCAAAUAUUAAUGGGUAGUGCCUAUUGUUUGCAGACCACACUUAACUCCAUUCACCUUCCGGUGACCUGCCAGGCAUUCCAGAUACUCCUCCGGCUUCUCGGCAGUCUUUGGAAAACAAGGGGCAAAAUCGUGUGAAUCCCUUUCUGCUAAUUUUCUGGAAAACUAAGGUGCUCAAAGGACCAAAAUGUUCCCAGCACCCCUGCUGCGUGCUUUCUCCCGAUGGAAAUCAUUGGCUUUAUUGAAUGAUACAGCUCUCGCCUUCACCCUGUGGAAGGUAUUUAUCAAACCGCUUUCCAACUUCACACCUGGGUAACUCUCCCAUGAGCCUCUUGCACAUUAAUUGUCAAAUAAUUUCCUUCUGCCUCAACAUUUCAUUUGUAAUGACACGCUGCUCCUGGUCAUUAAAGGAUUAGACUACUGACAACUUAUUAGUAUAAAUAUUUGAGGAUCAUGGAUAAAUUCCCUAGUUGCAAAGGAGAGGUUGGAGAAGAAACAAAAAAAUGGAAUUUGAACUUGUCGACAGGAAGGGCGAGAGAGGUUGCAAGUGUCUGAGUAUUACUGUCGGGUCUUCAUUUUAAAUGUAUGCUUGUUGUUAGUGCUGUUCUUAGCAACUGCUAUUUCUUCUUCUGUCUCUCCUCUUCUCCUUCCCACAGCCCUAACUAACCUAUGUAGGAAUUCUCUCAAUAAAUGAGUGAGUUAAAGGCAUCAUUUCAAAUUCUAUAUCUACUCCACAAUUAGCUCAGAAUGCAUAGCCAUGGAGAAUCAGCACAUGAUUACAACUAAUUGGAGGGAAGUACAUUAAAUCAUCAAACAGAUCCAUGCCUCACUUGAAGAGGUAAUGUGAUAGUAUUUUACAACUUUAAAAUCCAAUGCUGUGAGAAGGCAAUUAAGAACAGCUCAGUGGUGCUUGGGCUUCCUUUGGCCUGCUUGCUUACUUUAUUAGAAACAGUUGAUUAAUAUUCUUGUUAGACAUUUCCAAUUCAGAUUAAAAGGAGAAAACAACGUACUUUUCCUCUUUCAAGUUCUUUUGACUGUGCCUGGAAACCUAGUUUCUACUUUCCUUCCUACUAAGUGUUAGAACACCUUUCUUUGGUGGAUUUUACCCAAGCAGAAUGCAAUUCAAUGAUAGGCUCCUGAUAUGAAGUUCUCUAAUAAUGUUAGCUAUCCUGAACUUACUUCUUUCAUCUUCCUGGGGCAUAGACUUGAUGUGGGCACACUGCCAAGCAAGUGAGAUCAGAAGGACAAUAAAGG